AGCAGCCGCGGUAAUUCCAGCUCCAAUAGCGUAUAUUAAAGUUGUUGCAGUUAAAAAGCUCGUAGUUGAAUUUCGGGACCAAUUUGUUGGUCGUGCCUCGGUACGUACUGGUAUUAUUGGUUUCUCCCUUCUGAAGAACCUCGAUGUCAUUAAUUUGGUGUCGUGGGGAAUCAGGACUGUUACUUUGAAAAAAUUGAGUGUUUAAAGCAGGCAUACGCUUGAAUACAUUAGCAUGGAAUAAUGAAAUAGGACGUUUGAUUCUAUUUUGUUGGUUUCUAGGAUCGACGUAAUGAUUAAUAGGGAUAGUUGGGGGCAUUAGUAUCCAAUUGUCAGAGGUGAAAUUCUUGGAUUUAUUGAAGACUAACUACUGCGAAAGCAUUUGCCAAGGAUGUUUUCAUUAAUCAAGAACGAAAGUUAGGGGAUCGAAGACGAUCAGAUACCGUCGUAGUCUUAACCAUAAACUAUGCCGACUAGGGAUCGGAUGAUGUUAAUUUUUUAAUGUACUCAUUCGGCGCCUUAC
This 520-nucleotide ribosomal RNA is filed under the name uncultured Glomeraceae. Its description in RNAcentral is "SSU rRNA". It matches the Rfam family "Eukaryotic small subunit ribosomal RNA", at positions 569 to 1091 of the family's 1831-position model. The record is from RNAcentral. Lineage: Eukaryota; Fungi; Glomeromycota; Glomeromycetes; Glomerales; Glomeraceae.